Molecule: non-coding RNA, 111 nt
Organism: Rhamnusium bicolor
Lineage: Eukaryota; Metazoa; Arthropoda; Insecta; Coleoptera; Cerambycidae
Source: the annotation of a GenBank genome assembly
GGGUGCAUAGCUGAGAUAGUAGAGCCAAAGUUUACUUAUUUAUUCUGUAAACUUUGGUAGAGCGCUCGCUUAGCAUGCGAGAGGUACCGGGAUCGAUGCCCGGCGCUUCCA